Molecule: ribosomal RNA, 510 nt
Filed under: uncultured bacterium
Lineage: Bacteria
Description: partial 16S ribosomal RNA
Rfam family: Bacterial small subunit ribosomal RNA
Source: RNAcentral
GGACGAACGCUGGCGGCGUGCUUAACACAUGCAAGUCGAACGAAGAGCGAUGGAAGCUUGCUUCUAUCAAUCUUAGUGGCGAACGGGUGAGUAACGCGUAAUCAACCUGCCCUUCAGAGGGGGACAACAGUUGGAAACGACUGCUAAUACCGCAUACGAUCCAAUCUCGGCAUCGGGACUGGAUGAAAGGUGGCCUCUAUUUAUAAGCUAUCACUGAAGGAGGGGAUUGCGUCUGAUUAGCUAGUUGGAGGGGUAACGGCCCACCAAGGCGAUGAUCAGUAGCGGGCCGGAAGGAUGGACGGCCCCAAUGGGACUGGGAACAGGGCCCAGAUCCCUCCGGGAGGCACCAGUGGGGAUCUUCCGCCAUGGACGGAAGGCUGGCUGAACAACGCCGCGGGAGUGAUGAAGGGCUUCGGGUUGUAAAGCUCUGUUAAUCGGGACGAAUGGUUCUUGUGCGAAUAGGGCGAGGAUUUGACGGUACCGGAAGAGAAAGCCACGGCUAACUACGUG